This 301-nucleotide ribosomal RNA is filed under the name uncultured bacterium. RNAcentral's name for it is "partial 16S ribosomal RNA". It matches the Rfam family "Bacterial small subunit ribosomal RNA", at positions 509 to 807 of the family's 1533-position model. The record is from RNAcentral.
CAGUAGCCGCGGUAAUACGUAGGUGGCAAGCGUUGUCCGGAAUUAUUGGGCGUAAAGGGCUCGCAGGCGGUUUCUUAAGUCUGAUGUGAAAGCCCCCGGCUCAACCGGGGAGGGUCAUUGGAAACUGGGAAACUUGAGUGCAGAAGAGGAGAGUGGAAUUCCACGUGUAGCGGUGAAAUGCGUAGAGAUGUGGAGGAACACCAGUGGCGAAGGCGACUCUCUGGUCUGUAACUGACGCUGAGGAGCGAAAGCGUGGGGAGCGAACAGGAUUAGAGACCCGCGUAGUCCCUGUUUCUUAUAC